AGUUUGGAUUAUGGCUCAGAUUGAACGCUGGCGUGAUGCUUUACACAUGCAAGUCGAACGGCAAGCACGGACUUCGGUCUGGUGGCGAGUGGCGAACGGUGAGUACGUAUCGGAACGUGCCUAUAGCGGGGAUAACUACGCGAAAGCGCUAAUACUGCAUACGCCCUUCGGGGAAAGCGGGGACCUUCGGGCCUCGCACUAUUAGAGCGGCCGAUAUCGAUUAGCUAGUUGGUGGGGUAACGGUCACCGUUGGCGACGAUCCGUAGCUGGUUUGAGAGGGACGAACAGCCACACCGGGACCGAGACACGGCCCAGACUCCUACGGGAGGCAGCAGGGAAUUUUGGGAUAAUGGGAAACCCUGAUCCAGCCAUCCCGCGUGUGCGAUGAAGGCCUUCGGGUUGUAAAGCACUUUUGGCAGGGAGGCGGCACGGGAUAAUACCCCGUGCAACUGACGGUACCUGCAGAAUAAGCACCGGCUAACUACGUGCCAGCAGCCGCGGUAAUGCCGCGUAGGGGUGCAAGCGUUAAUCGGAAUUACUGGGCGUAAGCGUGCGCAGGCGGUUCGGAAAGAAAGAUGCGGGAAUCCCAGAGCUUAACUUUGGAACUGCAUUUUUAACUACCGAGCUAGAGUGUGUCAGGAGGGAGGUGGAAUUCCGCGUAGCAGUGGAAUGCGUAGAUAUGCGGAGGAACACCCUACGGCGAAGGCAGCCUCCUGGGAUAACACUGACGCUCAUGCAUCGAAAGCGUGGAAAAGGUGAUUGUGGAUACCGGUGUUUACUGCUUCAUGAAACAACUAGUUGGUUGGGCCUCUCGGCCUUUGUGGCGCGACAUGCAAAGGAAGUUUGACCGCCUGGGAGUACGGCUGCAAGAUUAAAACUCAAAGGAAUUGACGGGGACCCGCACAAGCGGUGGAUGAUGCGGAUUAAUUCGAUGCAACGCGAAAAACCUUACCUACCCUUGACAUGUCUGGAAUCCCGAAGAGAUUUGGGAGUGCUCGCAAGAGAACCGGAACACAGGUGCUGCAAGGUGGCUGUCGUCAGCUCGUGUCGUGAGAUGUUGGGUUAAGUCCCGCAACGAGCGCGGCAACCCCUGUCAUUAGUUGCUACGAAAGGGCACUCUAAUGAGACUGCCGGUGACAAACCGGAGGAAGGUGGGGAUGACGUCAAGUCCUCAUGGCCCUUAUGGGUAGGGCUUCACACGUCAUACAAUGGUCGGGACAGAGGGUCGCCAACCCGCGAGGGGGAGCCAAUCCCAGAAACCCGAUCGUAGUCCGGAUCGCAGUCUGCAACUCGACUGCGUGAAGUCGGAAUCGCUAGUAAUCGCGGAUCAGCAUGUCGCGGUGAAUACGUUCCCGGGUCUUGUACACAAUUCGCCCGUCACACCAUGGGAGUGGGUUUUACCAGAAGUAGUUAGCCUAACCGUAAGGAGGGCGACAACACGGUAGGAUUCAUGACUGGGGUGAAGUCGUAACAAGGUAACCCC
This 1483-nucleotide ribosomal RNA is filed under the name uncultured Bordetella sp. RNAcentral describes it as "partial 16S-23S ribosomal RNA intergenic spacer". It matches the Rfam family "Bacterial small subunit ribosomal RNA". The record is from RNAcentral. Lineage: Bacteria; Pseudomonadati; Pseudomonadota; Betaproteobacteria; Burkholderiales; Alcaligenaceae.